GUGGGGAAUUUUGGACAAUGGGCGAAAGCCUGAUCCAGCCAUGCCGCGUGUGUGAAGAAGGUCUUCGGAUUGUAAAGCACUUUAAGUUGGGAGGAAGGGCAGUAAGUUAAUACCUUGCUGUUUUGACGUUACCGACAGAAUAAGCACCGGCUAACUUCGUGCCAGCAGCCGCGGUAAUACGAAGGGUGCAACCGUUAAUCGGAAUUACUGGGCGUAAAGCGCGCGUAGGUGGUUUGGUAUGUUGGAGGUGAAAUCCCCGGGCUCAACCUGGGAACUGCCUCCAAACCUGCAUGACUAGAGUACGGUAGAGGGUAGUGGAAUUUCCUGUGUAGCGGUGAAAUGCGUAGAUAUAGGAAGGAACACCAGUGGCGAAGGCGACUACCUGGACUGAUACUGACACUGAGGUGCGAAAGCGUGGGGAGCAAACAGGAUUAGAAACCCCAGUAGUCC
Molecule: ribosomal RNA, 450 nt
Filed under: uncultured bacterium
Lineage: Bacteria
Description: bacterial SSU rRNA
Rfam family: Bacterial small subunit ribosomal RNA
Source: RNAcentral